This 64-nucleotide transfer RNA is filed under the name Allognosta vagans. Its description in RNAcentral is "tRNA-Tyr". It matches the Rfam family "tRNA". Rfam says of the family: Transfer RNA (tRNA) molecules are approximately 80 nucleotides in length. Their secondary structure includes four short double-helical elements and three loops (D, anti-codon, and T loops). Further hydrogen bonds mediate the characteristic L-shaped molecular structure. tRNAs have two regions of fundamental functional importance: the anti-codon, which is responsible for specific mRNA codon recognition, and the 3' end, to which the tRNAs corresponding amino acid is attached (by aminoacyl-tRNA synthetases). tRNAs cope with the degeneracy of the genetic code in two manners: having more than one tRNA (with a specific anti-codon) for a particular amino acid; and 'wobble' base-pairing, i.e. permitting non-standard base-pairing at the 3rd anti-codon position. Lineage: Eukaryota; Metazoa; Arthropoda; Insecta; Diptera; Stratiomyidae. The record is from RNAcentral.
GAUUAAAUGGCUGAAAUUUAGGCAAUAGAUUGUAAAUCUUUUUAUGGGUUAUUCCCUUUAAUCA